GGAAGGGUGCCAGAGUGGUUGAAUGGGCUCGCCUGGAAAGCGUGUAUAGGCUAAACCCCUAUCGAGGGUUCGAAUCCCUUCCCUUCCGCCA
RNAcentral lists this transfer RNA (91 nucleotides) under Gammaproteobacteria bacterium. RNAcentral describes it as "tRNA-Ser". It matches the Rfam family "tRNA". From Rfam's summary of the family: Transfer RNA (tRNA) molecules are approximately 80 nucleotides in length. The record is from RNAcentral. Lineage: Bacteria; Pseudomonadati; Pseudomonadota; Gammaproteobacteria. RNAcentral also lists the same sequence under 7 other names.